GUGCCAGCCGCCGCGGUAAUACGUAGGUGGCAAGCGUUGUCCGGAAUCAUUGGGCGUAAAGGGCGUGUAGGUGGAUUCUUAAGUCGUGUGUCUAAGUGCGGGGCUCAACCCCGUAUGGGCGCAGGAAACUGGGGAUCUUGAGUGCAGGAGAGGAAAGUGGAAUUCCCAGUGUAGCGGUGAACUGAGUUGAUAUUGGGAGGAACACCAGUGGCGAAGGCGCCUUUCUGGACUGUGUCUGACACUGCGGCGCG
This 251-nucleotide ribosomal RNA is filed under the name uncultured bacterium. RNAcentral's name for it is "partial 16S rRNA". It matches the Rfam family "Bacterial small subunit ribosomal RNA", at positions 505 to 755 of the family's 1533-position model. The record is from RNAcentral.